GCUGGGCACAGUGGUGCAUGCCUGUAACCCCAGUGGCUUUGGAGGCUGAGACAGGAGGAUCUUGAGUUCAAAGCUAGCCUCACCAAAAGUGAGGCGCUAAUCAACUCAGUGAGACCCUGUCUCUA
This 125-nucleotide small RNA is filed under the name Marmota monax (woodchuck). Lineage: Eukaryota; Metazoa; Chordata; Mammalia; Rodentia; Sciuridae. The record is from RNAcentral.